UUCUACGGGAGGCAGCAGUGGGGAAUAUUGCACAAUGGGCGAAAGCUGAUGCAGCGACGCCGCGUGAGGGAUGACGGCCUUCGGGUUGUAAACCUCUUUCAGCAGGGACGAAGCGCAAGUGACGGUACCUGCAGAAGAAGCACCGGCUAACUACGUGCCAGCAGCCGCGGUAAU
Molecule: ribosomal RNA, 174 nt
Filed under: uncultured Rhodococcus sp.
Lineage: Bacteria; Bacillati; Actinomycetota; Actinomycetes; Mycobacteriales; Nocardiaceae
Description: partial 16S ribosomal RNA
Rfam family: Bacterial small subunit ribosomal RNA
Source: RNAcentral